CUCACAACAUGCGUCAGCGAGCAGCGCGUCUGCGGCUAUUUAAAGGGUUUCGCCUCCAGCAGCAGUCAAUGCACUUGUUCUCCUCUGCGAAACCACAGCCUCCGACUCCACAAGACUCUCCACACUCCACAAGACUUCACCUCACUGAGGAACGCCACUGAAGAGGCAGCAUGGGUUUUACCAAUAAAUGUGUUCUGAGGAGUAAAGAGGGGCAGUUUGUGACAGUCAGGCAAUUCGACGAGGGACUGAAGCUGUGUACAGUUGAGCAUCAAGGUUCCAACAAUGCUCCUUUGGUGCACAUAGAAGAAAAAGAUGAUCGGGUGGCUUUCAUGUUCGAACAAGAAACAGUUUUCUAUUGCCCAAAGGUGGUUGGAGGUCAAUUAGAGUUGCAGAAGAUCAAUGACGGUUUGAUUAUCGAAGACAACUUGACUGCAAAUCAUUGGUUUGAGAGGUGUAAUGUUGAAGGCGGUAAUCUUUACGGCCUGCGAUCUGUGGUCGAACCGACACAAUACCUCUACUUUCAACCCCUACGGUUGAAAAGGUUUUCGGAAUCUCUACAUCCAAAUCGAACUGUGCUCUAGUCACAGAUGAAAAGUUAAGAGAGUAGGCAACCUGCAGCUGCCCACCUCCGUCUCCUUCCAAAGAACUCCAGAUUUCCAUGCUGGGGUAGAUGUCUUCCUCUGGGCCGAGGAGAAAGUGGAGCUUUAUCAUUCUUGGGGGUGCUAUGUGUCUUCUUGUUAAACUUAUUUAAAGGGAUACUAUGGAAUUAAGUAUUGUACUUCCACUCCUUCUGAGCUUCAGAAGACAUUAUAUAGCUGUUUUCAAAUUCUGACUUGUUCACUGCAUGACUAGUAAACUGCUCUCUAUGCGUAACAUUGGUAGCGUUUCCCCUUUAAUGUGAAAAUGUUCAUCAACUGCUUUUCAUGUGUAUUUAAGUGGGUAAGGUAUUAUAUAACAUGUCCAUCCAAACUCUAGCUCAUUAAUGUUGAAUGUACGUCAACGGGUGCCGUUUGCCUUUCCAGGUCUUGUGUUGCAGAUGGUGAUAAAGAAAAGUUUUAAUGUAUAUUUAAUUGUAUAUAUAUAUUUAUUUUU
Molecule: long non-coding RNA, 1092 nt
Organism: Anoplopoma fimbria (sablefish)
Lineage: Eukaryota; Metazoa; Chordata; Actinopteri; Perciformes; Anoplopomatidae
Exons: 5
Source: RefSeq, a predicted model, not a curated record